This 450-nucleotide ribosomal RNA is filed under the name uncultured bacterium. RNAcentral describes it as "partial 16S ribosomal RNA". It matches the Rfam family "Bacterial small subunit ribosomal RNA", at positions 354 to 796 of the family's 1533-position model. The record is from RNAcentral.
GUGGGGAAUCUUCCGCAAUGGACGAAAGUCUGACGGAGCAACGCCGCGUGAGUGAUGAAGGUCUUCGGAUUGUAAAGCUCUGUUAAUCGGGACGAAAGAGCCUAGUGUGAAUAAUGCUAGGAAGUGACGGUACCGGAAUAGAAAGCCACGGCUAACUACGUGCCAGCAGCCGCGGUAAUACGUAGGUGGUAAGCGUUGUCCGGAAUUAUUGGGCGUAAAGCGCGCGCAGGCGGAUCUGCCAGUCUGUCUUAAAAGUUCGGGGCUUAACCCCGUGAUGGGAUGGAAACUACAGAUCUAGAGUAUCGGAGAGGAAAGUGGAAUUCCUAGUGUAGCGGUGAAAUGCGUAGAUAUUAGGAAGAACACCAGUGGCGAAGGCGACUUUCUGGACGAAAACUGACGCUGAGGCGCGAAAGCCAGGGGAGCGAACGGGAUUAGAUACCCUUGUAGUCC